This 252-nucleotide ribosomal RNA is filed under the name Muribaculum intestinale. Its description in RNAcentral is "partial 16S ribosomal RNA". It matches the Rfam family "Bacterial small subunit ribosomal RNA", at positions 524 to 776 of the family's 1533-position model. The record is from RNAcentral. RNAcentral also lists the same sequence under 1 other name. Lineage: Bacteria; Pseudomonadati; Bacteroidota; Bacteroidia; Bacteroidales; Muribaculaceae.
UACGGAGGAUGCGAGCGUUAUCCGGAUUUAUUGGGUUUAAAGGGAGCGCAGGCUGCGAGGCAAGUCAGCGGUCAAAUGUCGGGGCUCAACCCCGGCCUGCCGUUGAAACUGUCUUGCUAGAGUUCGAGUGAGGUAUGCGGAAUGCGUUGUGUAGCGGUGAAAUGCAUAGAUAUGACGCAGAACUCCGAUUGCGAAGGCAGCAUACCAACUCGCGACUGACGCUGAGGCUCGAAAGCGUGGGUAUCGAACAGG